Molecule: long non-coding RNA, 359 nt
Filed under: Rhipicephalus microplus (southern cattle tick)
Lineage: Eukaryota; Metazoa; Arthropoda; Arachnida; Ixodida; Ixodidae
Description: uncharacterized LOC119168022
Source: RNAcentral
AUAUUUUUUAUAGCUGAUCGACUUUUCCUUUGUUCUGCCUUUUAGGGUUUGGGUGCCAGUGAUGAACUGCCGCUGUUUUUCCAGGUGGACAAUCAAAUUCACCUAGGAAACGGCAUAUUCCUGGAGCAGGAAAAAUGGGCAUGGCUGCUUUCGCGUCCGAGAGACAGCUUGUUCUGUAAGGAGGCGACCAAGCUUCUGUGGGGUGUGAGUGCCCUCCACAACAGGAGCAUCACAGGAGCCCCUUGUCGGCGCUAUGUGCGCUCAGAAAACCAGGCACCACCCAGGAGGGCACUCACGCCUAAGAAAUUGGAGGCAGUCGGAAAUGCCUUCAGCAAGUACAUUGCUGGGACACCAAGUGA